RNAcentral lists this ribosomal RNA (1494 nucleotides) under uncultured bacterium. Its description in RNAcentral is "bacterial SSU rRNA". It matches the Rfam family "Bacterial small subunit ribosomal RNA". The record is from RNAcentral.
UAGAGUUUGAUCAUGGCUCAGGAUGAACGCUGGCUACAGGCUUAACACAUGCAAGUCGGGGGGCAGCAUGCGGGUUGCUUGCAACCUGUGAUGGCGACCGGCGGAUGGGUGAGUAACGCGUAUCCAACCUUCCCUUAACCGGGGCAUAACCUGCCGAAAGGCAGACUAAUUCCCCAUGCACUCCACCGACGGCAUCAGACGCGGAGUAAAGGGUAUCGGUUAUGGAUGGGGAUGCGUCCGAUUAGCUUGACGGCGGGGCAACGGCCCACCGUGGCAACGAUCGGUAGGGGUUCUGAGAGGAAGGUCCCCCACAUUGGAACUGAGACACGGUCCAAACUCCUACGGGAGGCAGCAGUGAGGAAUAUUGGUCAAUGGGCGAGAGCCUGAACCAGCCAAGUAGCGUGCAGGAUGACGGCCCUAUGGGUUGUAAACUGCUUUUAUACAGGGAUAAAGUCGGGGACGUGUUCCCCGUUUGCAGGUACUGUAUGAAUAAGGACCGGCUAAUUCCGUGCCAGCAGCCGCGGUAAUACGGAAGGUCCGGGCGUUAUCCGGAUUUAUUGGGUUUAAAGGGAGCGCAGGCGGAAGAUUAAGCGUGACGUGAAAUGUCCCGGCUCAACCGUGGAACUGCGUCGCGAACUGGUUUUCUUGAGUGAGUACGACGUCAGCGGAAUUCGUGGUGUAGCGGUGAAAUGCUUAGAUAUCACGAAGAACCCCGAUUGCGAAGGCAGCUGACGAGUCCUUUACUGACGCUAAAGCUCGAAAGUGCGGGUAUCGAACAGGAUUAGAUACCCUGGUAGUCCGCACGGUAAACGAUGGAUGCCCGCUGUUGGCGAUACAAUGUCAGCGGCCAAGAGAAAUCGUUAAGCAUCCCACCUGGGGAGUACGCCGGCAACGGUGAAACUCAAAGGAAUUGACGGGGGCCCGCACAAGCGGAGGAACAUGUGGUUUAAUUCGAUGAUACGCGAGGAACCUUACCCGGGCUUGAACUGCAGCGGAAGGAUACAGAGAUGUUGACGUCCUUCGGGACCGCUGUGGAGGUGCUGCAUGGUUGUCGUCAGCUCGUGCCGUGAGGUGUCGGCUUAAGUGCCAUAACGAGCGCAACCCCUUUCAUUAGUUGCCAUCACUUCGGGUGGGCACUCUGGUGAUACUGCCACCGUAAGGUGUGAGGAAGGUGGGGAUGACGUCAAAUCAGCACGGCCCUUACGUCCGGGGCUACACACGUGUUACAAUGGGUGAUACAGAUGGCAGGUUCACGGCAACGUGGAUCAAAUCUUGAAAGUCAUCCUCAGUUCGGAUUGGGGUCUGCAACCCGACCCCAUGAAGCUGGAUUCGCUAGUAAUCGCGCAUCAGCCAUGGCGCGGUGAAUACGUUCCCGGGCCUUGUACACACCGCCCGUCAAGCCAUGAAAGCCGGGGGCGCCUGAAGUCCGUGACCGCGAGGGUCGGCCUAGGGUGAAACCGGUGAUUGGGGCUAAGUCGUAACAAGGUAACCGUA